Molecule: long non-coding RNA, 467 nt
Organism: Mytilus californianus (California mussel)
Lineage: Eukaryota; Metazoa; Mollusca; Bivalvia; Mytilida; Mytilidae
Exons: 3
Source: RefSeq, a predicted model, not a curated record
UUUACAAAAUUAAUAUGAACAUCAAAGUUGCCAUUUGCGUUUUUGCUUGUCUGUUUGCUUUUGUCAUUGGGGAGAACUGUCAGCAUGUAAGCGAUUGUGCACUUACCCGUUGUGGGAGUGGUCAAACUGCUAACUGUUCUAAUGGCAUGUGCAUUUGUGUGAUAUUGACUGGCAUUGCCUGUACAGGUGUCAGUGAAUGUCAUGGUCCAUGUCAUAGUUACAGGGCACACUGUGUUGAUGGACAGUGCGUUUGUGUUAAUAUUUUCCCAUUCGGAAUACAUAAGAAAAAAAGAGAAGAGUCUCACUAGAUCAAUGUUACAUGAGUUGUCAAACAUUAAAAUAUCACAUUUCUUAUAUAAUAUAAUAUUGACUUAAGAUAUUCUACUGUAUUUCUUUUUUUUCACUUGAAUUUAUCAUUGUAUAAGUAAAAUCAAAAUGAAAAAAAAAAUAAAGAAAAUUAUUAUUUA